RNAcentral lists this ribosomal RNA (1020 nucleotides) under Fusarium kyushuense. RNAcentral describes it as "eukaryotic LSU rRNA". The stretch from base 444 to 1020 matches the Rfam family "Eukaryotic large subunit ribosomal RNA", at positions 1 to 589 of the family's 3401-position model. The record is from RNAcentral. Lineage: Eukaryota; Fungi; Ascomycota; Sordariomycetes; Hypocreales; Nectriaceae.
CCCAAACCCCUGUGAACAUACCUCUAUGUUGCCUCGGCGGAUCAGCCCGCGCCCCGUAAAACGGGACGGCCCGCCGCAGGAACCACAAACUCUGUUUUUAGUGGAACUUCUGAGUAUAAAAAACAAAUAAAUCAAAACUUUCAACAACGGAUCUCUUGGUUCUGGCAUCGAUGAAGAACGCAGCAAAAUGCGAUAAGUAAUGUGAAUUGCAGAAUUCAGUGAAUCAUCGAAUCUUUGAACGCACAUUGCGCCCGCCAGUAUUCUGGCGGGCAUGCCUGUUCGAGCGUCAUUUCAACCCUCAAGCUCAGCUUGGUGUUGGGAGCUGCGGUCAUCGCACUCCCCAAAUUGAUUGGCGGUCACGUCGAGCUUCCAUAGCGUAGUAAUUUACACAUCGUUACUGGUAAUCGUCGCGGCCACGCCGUUAAACCCCAACUUCUGAAUGUUGACCUCGGAUCAGGUAGGAAUACCCGCUGAACUUAAGCAUAUCAAUAAGCGGAGGAAAAGAAACCAACAGGGAUUGCCCUAGUAACGGCGAGUGAAGCGGCAACAGCUCAAAUUUGAAAUCUGGCUCUCGGGCCCGAGUUGUAAUUUGUAGAGGAUGACUUUGAUGCGGUGCCUUCCGAGUUCCCUGGAACGGGACGCCAUAGAGGGUGAGAGCCCCGUCUGGUUGGAUGCCAAAUCUCUGUAAGUCUCCUUCGACGAGUCGAGUAGUUUGGGAAUGCUGCUCUAAAUGGGAGGUAUAUGUCUUCUAAAGCUAAAUACCGGCCAGAGACCGAUAGCGCACAAGUAGAGUGAUCGAAAGAUGAAAAGCACUUUGAAAAGAGAGUUAAAAAGUACGUGAAAUUGUUGAAAGGGAAGCGUUUAUGACCAGACUUGGGCUUGGUUAAUCAUCUGGGGUUCUCCCCAGUGCACUUUUCCAGUCCAGGCCAGCAUCAGUUUUCGCCGGGGGAUAAAGGCUUCGGGAAUGUGGCUCCCCUCGGGGAGUGUUAUAGCCCGUUGUGUAAUACCCUGGCGGGGACU